This 503-nucleotide ribosomal RNA is filed under the name uncultured bacterium. RNAcentral describes it as "bacterial SSU rRNA". It matches the Rfam family "Bacterial small subunit ribosomal RNA", at positions 28 to 507 of the family's 1533-position model. The record is from RNAcentral.
GAUGAACGCUAGCUACAGGCUUAACACAUGCAAGUCGAGGGGAAACGACAGAGGAAGCUUGCUUCCUUUGGGCGUCGACCGGCGCACGGGUGAGUAACGCGUAUCCAACCUUCCCGCAAGUAAGGGAUAACCCGUAGAAAUGCGGCCUAAUACCUUAUGUUUUCCUUAGAGGGCAUCUGAUGAGGAACAAAGAUCCGUCGCUUGCGGAUGGGGAUGCGUCUGAUUAGUUAGUCGGCGGGGUAACGGCCCACCGAGACGACGAUCAGUAGGGGUUCUGAGAGGAAGGUCCCCCACAUUGGAACUGAGACACGGUCCAAACUCCUACGGGAGGCAGCAGUGAGGAAUAUUGGUCAAUGGGCGGAAGCCUGAACCAGCCAUGCCGCGUGAAGGACUAAGGCCCUAUGGGUCGUAAACUUCUUUAGACGCAGAGUAAUAAGGGAAUAAAGUGAGCCUCGUGAGGCUUUUUGCAUGUACCUUAUGAAUAAGGACCGGCUAAUUCCGUG